This is a long non-coding RNA of Canis lupus familiaris (dog), 2309 nucleotides long. RefSeq lists it as uncharacterized. Lineage: Eukaryota; Metazoa; Chordata; Mammalia; Carnivora; Canidae. The record is from RefSeq and is a predicted model, not a curated record. The transcript has 2 exons.
CCUGUGUCUCUGCGCCUCUCUCUCUCUCUCUCUGUGUAACUAUCAUAAAUAAAUAAAAAUUUUAAAAAAAAUGUUUAAAAAAAUUAAAAAAAAAAAAAAAAAGAAACUCCAAAUAGAAGAGAAGAUAGUAAGCGAAAACCUAAACACCUGGCCAUUUAUGAACUGCAAAUCCCAAAGCGUGGAAAAAUAUUUGCAGAGAAGAUCCUGGAACCCUGGUCAAGGAGGUGAGAGAGCGGGGGAGAAAAAGAAAGGAACCGAAGAACUAGAAGGCUGCAGAUGUCCUGAUGCUGAGAAAAGAGGAAAAGGCCAGAAGCCUGAGGAUACGUCUUACAGGGUUAAAAUCCAGGUGUUGGCAAGGCUGCAUUUCUUCUGGAGGCCCCAGGGGAACAUAUGCCAGGCCGGUUUCAAGCUUCUCCAGGCUACUGUGUUCCUUGGCCUCUGGCUUCAUCCAUCCUCAAAGCCAGCAGCAUAGCAUUUUCCAGUCUCGGAAAGACCUGCAUUUCGAUUUUCUUUUAUUUUUUUAAUCGGCUGCACAAGCACAGGAUGAAGGAAGUGUGGCUUGAGAGCGGUGCCUAUGGAAAAGGCUGGAGGCUUUCAGUCAUCGUCAGUUGGAAUUGAACCAGUAGGAAUGGAGUAGCUACCAGAAAAGACAGUGGUUCUCCCCCGCCCCUUCUUAUUUUAGGUGCGAAAGGGUGAAACUGGAAAGCAUGUUUCUCUCCCUGUAGCCAUCUCUCUCCCCAGGAGGAAUCAGCCUCCCGUUAACAGCUUACAGUAGAGCCUCUGAGAGGUGUUCUAUGCACAUAAAAGCAAAUACAUACUUUAAACUUAAAAUCCCUCUUUUGUAGUAUUCGAAUUGCAGUAUCUAUUUCGAUCUAAUACUGGAUUUUACAUUCCAUUCCACUGAUCUCCUUCUUUUAAUAUAUUUGAAAGAGAUUGUAGUUUAUUGAUCUUUUAAAUUACAUUUCAAGUGAAAGCAAUAAAUAUCUGUUGGGAAAAGUCUGGGAAAUAGAAAAAAUUAUACAGAGAAAAUAAAUAUUAUCCCUGAACCUACCAUAAAUAACUAAAUAUUUUGGUGUUUAUUCAUCCAGUCUUUUCCUAUGUAAUUGUAUUUUUUUACCCAACUGAGAUGAUACUAUGUAAGUCUUUUUUUUUUUUUUUUUUUUUUUUUGCUACUAUGUAAGUCUUAAUUUUCCAACUGCCAAAUCUAGUGUGACCUCAGUGCUUUAAGUGGUGGAACCAGUGAUCAUCUUACCAAACCAAAUCCACUCCUCUUUUGCCGUCUUCCCAGAUACCUGUGCAAGACAUGGACUCUUGAGGCUCCUUCCCAACCUCCUCAUCCUAGUCCCUAAGCCCUAUUUCCCCUUCAUAGACUCACAGGCCCCCAACUGUGAAAUCCUGUCAAUAUACACUUGUAGAAGACCCAGAGAGGGGAAAAGAAUUUGUAAAGGUUAGAAUUUUUUAACUGCAAGAAACAGGAUUCAACUCAAAAUGGUUCAACCAAGUAGUAAAUUUAUCACCUCCCUUAAUGAGAGGUCCAUAGAUAGAUAGGGUAAAUCCAGAAUGUGUUAAUUCAGUGGCUCACUGAUAACAUCAAGGACCGUGAUCCUUGCCAUCUGUCCGUUCUGUCAUCCCCAGUGUAUCAGCUUUUGUCCUUACACUUUUCCCCACAUGGUUGCAAGAUGGUGGCAAUAGUUCCAAGUACCAUCUUCUCACACAAAUUACAUAAAGCUCAGAAGAGAGCAUGCCCCUUCCCGAUCCCACAUUGCCCAAAGCAGAAGCUGAGAAUAGUUGGGAAAGGGAGGAGAGCAUUUUUGGUUGUCACAAUGAUCAAAGGACACUUUUGGCAUCUAGUGGGCAGUGGCCAAAGAUGGUAGAUGUCCUAUGAUGUUUAGGACAAUUGAUUAAGUGAAACAUUAGCUCUCAUUCCAUACAACAUUAAUGUAGGUAAAAACAAAACAAAACAAACCUGUUUUUACAUCCAAAACAAGCUUCUUUGCAUGGCUAUAACGUACACUGAAUUUUCCAAGAAUAUAACUUCCCUGUAAAUGGGGGAAGGAUUGUAAUUUGUUUUGUUUGCAAUUUCACCAAGACUCCUUCAGCGUUAGACGUCAUAAUGGUAUUGGGGCUCUGGACGGCACACCCUUGUAUCAGUGUGUUUGUAGUUGUUGCACUUGUGAUUCUAUAGAAGAUUCUACACUUCUAGAAGUAUAAACAUCCAUCUCUAUUUGGUGUUUAUUCUAGUGUGACAAUGUGCAAGUAUUUACAUAUUGAAAGAUUAUUAUAUUAAAAGUACCACAGUUGGAGCGUUA